Molecule: transfer RNA, 84 nt
Filed under: Felis catus (domestic cat)
Lineage: Eukaryota; Metazoa; Chordata; Mammalia; Carnivora; Felidae
Rfam family: tRNA
About the family: Transfer RNA (tRNA) molecules are approximately 80 nucleotides in length. Their secondary structure includes four short double-helical elements and three loops (D, anti-codon, and T loops). Further hydrogen bonds mediate the characteristic L-shaped molecular structure. tRNAs have two regions of fundamental functional importance: the anti-codon, which is responsible for specific mRNA codon recognition, and the 3' end, to which the tRNAs corresponding amino acid is attached (by aminoacyl-tRNA synthetases). tRNAs cope with the degeneracy of the genetic code in two manners: having more than one tRNA (with a specific anti-codon) for a particular amino acid; and 'wobble' base-pairing, i.e. permitting non-standard base-pairing at the 3rd anti-codon position.
Source: Rfam by way of RNAcentral
ACCUGGGUGGCUCAGUCAGUUGAGCAUCCAACUUAGGCUUGGGUCAUGAUUUGUGGUUCGUAGGUUCAAGCCCUACAUUGGGCU